CGAUGAAACAGGAAAAGAAAGAAGAACGGUCAUAAACACGGCGUGAACGUGUUUUCAGUUCAAGGGAGCGCUCUAACCGGUGCGACGCGACGCGGUAAGAGAAUAUCGCGAAUCGUCCUGCUCGGAGGGUGGAUGGCCGUAAUGGUGGGGGUGCGUCGACCGCGAGCGAGUACGAUAAACGUGUACAAGAGAAGGAUAGAAAUGAGGGAGUGGGGGAAGGUCAGAUCGCGCAGGCGUCAGCCCCAAACUUACCACGGGCGAUCAGUCGUGCGUGGCACUUGACACGCGUUACGUCUUUUCGUUUCUUUACCUUGGAUUCUUUUACGGAUCACGUCGCUUUCGUCGCAUUCGCUUGUACUCUGCUUUUCUUUCGCUUUUGCACUGUCUUUUUCCUGUUUCUCUCCUGCCUUUCCUCCGUUCCGUUUCUCUCACUUUUGUCCUUGUUGCUACGCCCUUUUAUACUUUUGUACUUCGUUUUUGUUUUUUCCCCACUUUUUCCUCCCUCCUUUUCUCUCCUCACUUCUCUCUUCCUCUCUCUCCCUCUCUUUCCUUCUGUUCGAAAGGAUCCAACUCGAUUCAACGGUUCGAUGUUGCGUCAACCAGAAUAACAGAUUCGAUCGUUCCGGAUGGAAAUCGUGCUCCUGUCGUAACAUUAUUAAUAUUGUAAGUGGCAUUCAAAGAAAAAUUUAUGACUCUUUUCAUGCUAUUUUUGUGUAAACUUAAUAUGGUGUUGUGUCCUUCGAGUUCUUCAAACUUGAGUUAAAAAUUGUUACUUUUUUCUUUGUUCAGUGGUUUAUACUGACAGGUGUUACAAAUACGAAUCUAGUCAUAUCGAAGAAAUAGCAAGUCGGCCAUGAUUUCAGUGAUUCGGUGAACGAAUGAAACUUGUAUACGGUCAUAUUUUUGCUCGUGCUUUUCGAUAUCAUCUUCGGUGAAGUUUUUUCUCAGUGAUAAGUGUAAUAUUUGUUUGAACUUUGGAAACAUUAUGUGCGGACCAACCACGUGUCUUCGAACGACGAACAACGAAUAUCAGGCAAUAGAAUUUCGAGUUUCAACAGAACCGUCCAUACAUCGUUUCAUCUCGUAUUUUUGAAACUGGAUAUUCUAUUCAUGUAUUUCUCUUGUCACAAUUAUUCUCGAAAACAUCAUUGAUGAACAAUAUUAUCGCCAUUUAACGUUAUAUUUUUUUACAUUAGUUGCUUUUGAUUCGAUGCUAGUGGAAUUUUUAUGGGAAAGAAAAGGAUCGAUAAUCACAAGAUCUCGCUCGCUUCGGAUUCAGCCGCUCAACGUCGACCUUUCACAAUGGCCGCUCGUUUAUGACGAAUCCGGCGCGCAUAAGAAGCGAGCAAAGCGGCGGGGCGGCGGCGGCGUCGUCCGGAAGCGAGGAGCAGAGAAGAAGCGGCGUGGUGCCGGCGCCGGUCCCAACACCGGUCCCGGUGCACGUGCCUCUCGGACCGAGCAGAAAACAGGGGCAAGAGGCCACGUUUCCUUUCGGCCAGGUACGCUCGCACUACGAUCCAAAGUGGCUAAGAGCGUAAGUCCUCACCGAGUGCACCAGGAGUGCUCGAGCGGAGGGGAGGUGCAGGUACAGGUGCAGCAGGAGAGACGAGCACCGAGGCGCAUGCCUUACCUGGGGCCUGAUAUGACAACCCGGCUGUCCGCCAUGUUUUACACGGUCGAAGUCGGGGACACCAGAUUCACCAUUCUCAAGCGGUAUCAGAAUUUGAAGCCGAUCGGUUCCGGGGCACAGGGAAUCGUUUGCGCUGCGUACGACACGGUGACAGCGCAGAAUGUCGCGAUCAAAAAACUCUCGAGACCUUUCCAAAACGUUACGCACGCGAAGAGGGCCUACAGGGAGUUCAAGCUGAUGAAGCUGGUCAAUCACAAAAACAUAAUCGGUUUGUUGAACGCGUUCACGCCACAACGGUCUUUGGACGAGUUUCAAGACGUUUACUUGGUGAUGGAACUUAUGGACGCGAAUCUAUGCCAGGUAAUCCAGAUGGAUCUGGAUCACGAACGUAUGUCUUAUCUGCUUUAUCAAAUGCUGUGCGGCAUCAAACACUUACACUCGGCCGGUAUCAUUCACAGGGAUUUAAAGCCGAGCAAUAUAGUAGUGAAGGCCGACUGUACAUUGAAGAUUCUCGAUUUUGGCCUGGCCAGAACUGCCGGGACCACUUUCAUGAUGACGCCAUACGUUGUGACGCGAUAUUACAGGGCGCCAGAGAGCAACUGGGAACGCCGGCGCAGGAAUUCAUGCAGCGGCUCCAGCCUACGGUCAGGAAUUACGUGGAGAACAGGCCACGGUAUCCGGGAUAUCCGUUCGACAGGUUAUUCCCGGACGUUCUGUUUCCAUCGGACUCGUCGGAACACAACAGGUUGAAAGCUAGUCAAGCCAGGGAUCUAUUGUCGCGCAUGCUCGUGAUCGACCCCGAACGACGCAUCUCCGUCGAUGAUGCUUUACUACAUAAUUACAUAAACGUGUGGUACGACGAGGGCGAAGUCAAUGCCCCUGCACCAGGCCCGUACGACCAUAGUGUCGAUGAGAGGGAGCACACGGUGGACCAGUGGAAAGAGCUGAUCUACCAGGAAGUGAUGGAAUACGAGACGAGCCAUAAUCCCACGACAGUAGCUCAAACGUCCGAGAGCGGCGAAUCCCGGUAGACACGCAAGAACUACUUGCCAUCUUUUUGCGUCAACGACGCAUCUAGACUGUCCGAUCUGUUACACGUACAUAUAUGUAUACACACGCGUACACGUAUCCCUCCCGUACACAACAGGCAUGCAUACACAGAGAGACACACACACACACAAAACCGUAUUUCAAUAUAAGCGUGUGUAUAUCCUAUGUAUGUACGUAUAUAUAUACAUAUAUACAUACACAUAUAUGUAGUAUAUAUAUAUAUUUCGUGGAAAUAUAAAUGAGAUGAGAAAUAAUGAUUAGAAAUCGUUUACGUCCAUGGGAAUGAUGUACGUUAAACGAAGCGCCGUUUUCGUUCGACGAGGCCAGGAAGAAAACAGGCGAGACGAAAUGAAUAAAAUUGGAAGUGAAGAGAAACAGGAAAGAAAUAUGUGUAUGUGUGAGAAAGAGAGAAAGAGAGAGAGAGAGAGAGAGAGAGAUCCAAAGUGAGCGAACGAUAGUGUAUGAAACAAAAAAGGAAAAAGUAAUGACAGAGAUAAAAUGAAAGGAAAAAAAGAUAAUCGACGAGAAAGAGAAAGAUAGAAAAGAUAUGGGGUAAGAGAAAAACGGAGAAAGAGAGAGAGAGA
Molecule: unclassified non-coding RNA, 3264 nt
Filed under: Apis florea (little honeybee)
Lineage: Eukaryota; Metazoa; Arthropoda; Insecta; Hymenoptera; Apidae
Description: stress-activated protein kinase JNK, transcript variant X15
Source: RNAcentral